GACGAACGCUGGCGGCGUGCCUAAUACAUGCAAGUAGAACGCUGAAGGAGGAGCUUGCUUCUCUGGAUGAGUUGCGAACGGGUGAGUAACGCGUAGGUAACCUGCCUUGUAGCGGGGGAUAAUUAUUGGAAACGAUAGCUCAUACCGCAUAAUAGUAGAUGUUGCAUGACAUUUGCUUAAAAGGUGCAAUUGCCUCAUUACUAGAUGGCACUGCGUUGUAUUAGUUAGUUGUUGGGGUUACGGCUCACCAAGGCGAAGAUACAUAGCCGACCUGAGAGGGGUGGCGGCCACACUGGUAAUGAGACACGGCCCCGACUCCUACGGGAGGCAGCAGUAGUGAAGCUUCGGCAAUAGACGGAAGUCUGACCGAGAAACGCCACGUGAGUGAAGAAGGUCUCCGGAUCGUAAAGAUCUGUAGUAAGAGGAGAACGAGUGUGAGAGUGGAAAGUUCACUCUGUGACGGUAUCUUACCAGAAAGGAACGGCUAACUACGUG
Molecule: ribosomal RNA, 495 nt
Filed under: uncultured bacterium
Lineage: Bacteria
Description: partial 16S ribosomal RNA
Rfam family: Bacterial small subunit ribosomal RNA
Source: RNAcentral